This 214-nucleotide long non-coding RNA is filed under the name Elaeis guineensis (African oil palm). RNAcentral's name for it is "long non-coding RNA (EGUI_LNC070086)". The record is from RNAcentral. Lineage: Eukaryota; Viridiplantae; Streptophyta; Magnoliopsida; Arecales; Arecaceae.
ACGGUGUUCUCAAGACUCCUCCAACGGACGAACCUCCACAACGCCAUCCGAACUCCACUGUGAGUCGAUCCUCUGCCAGAUUCCUCAUGAAAUCGGACCUCUCCGACGGACGAUUCUCAGACGAGCUUCUACAUCAGGCAAAUCCCAGACGGACUUCUCUAGCAAUCAGACUCCUACCGAACUUCACCAAUAGAAAGUCCCCGUCUGAGCUUCC